Molecule: ribosomal RNA, 395 nt
Filed under: Trichormus variabilis BHU002
Lineage: Bacteria; Bacillati; Cyanobacteriota; Cyanophyceae; Nostocales; Nostocaceae
Description: bacterial SSU rRNA
Rfam family: Bacterial small subunit ribosomal RNA
Source: RNAcentral
UUGGGUUGUAAACCUCUUUUCUCAGGGAAUAAGAAAGUGAAGGUACCUGAGGAAUAAGCAUCGGCUAACUCCGUGCCACCAACCGCGGUAAUACGGAGGAUGCAAGCGUUAUCCGCAAUGAUUGGGCGUACAGCGUCCGCAGGUGGCACUGUAAGUCUGCUGUUAAAGAGCAAGGCUCAACCUUGUAAAGGCAGUGGAAACUACAGAGCUAGAGUACGUUCGGGGCAGAGGGAAUUCCUGGUGUAGCGGAAAUGCGUAGAGAUCAGGAAGAACACCGGUGGCGAAAGCGCUCUGCUAGGCCGUAACUGACACUGAGGGACGAAAGCUAGGGGAGCGAAUGGGAUUAGAUACCCCAGUAGUCCUAGCCGUAAACGAUGGAUACUAGGCGUGGCUUG